CAAAGCCUUCCUCUUCUCCUCCAGUAAUUUCUCAUACUCCUCAAGGGUCAUCUCCUGCAAAGUAAGUCUAUAUCAAUGUUGAACAGUACACAUUCAAUUCUAGCUAUUUGACUGAUCUGCAUACUGUCCAUUAGACUACCAUACCGUUCAUCAUUAUAAAAAUCAUCAAAUAACAAAUAUAAGCAAACAAUCAAUCAGGUCUCCACCUAGUUAAAAUCUUAGUCAAAGCGAGGGACCCAGUUCAAAGAAUAAUCCCAAUAAAUGUUCUAUUCCCUAAAGUUGGCCCACUGCUUCGUCACUGGAACUUUUUCUUGGCAGGUUAGUCACCGAUGCCAAAAGGAAUUUAUCACAAAGGACAAACCAUCUUGAAGUUCUCCAGCUCUUUCAAGUAAUAACAAGGGACCGAGGGGAAAUUUCAAGAGCAGUUGACGCAUGUGACAACAACAACAACUACCCAGUAUAGUCCCACAAAGUGGGGUCUCGGGAGGGUAAUAUGUAGACGAGUAUUCGUUGAACAGUACACCGACUCAAUUCUAGCUAUUAUAUACUGAUCUGCAGGUACUGUCCAUUACAGUACCAUGCCAUUCUUCAUUAAAAAAACUUGAAAUAACAAAUAAAGGCAAAAAAUCAAUCAGGCCUCCACCAGUUAAAAUCUUAGUCAAAGCGAGGGACCCAGUUGAAACAAAGAAAAAUCUCAGUAAAUUCUCUGUUCUGAACCUAUUCUUGGCAGGUGGGAGCUGUAGCAAAUAAUCACUGAUGCCGAAAGGAAUUUUAUCACAAGGACAAACCAUCUUUAAAGUUCUCCAGCUCUCUUUCAAGUAGUAACAAGGGACCGAAGAGAAAUUUCAAGAACAGUUGAUGCUAUGUGACAAGUACCUCAAAAUUUCAGUUAGUUGUUGCUUCGCUAUAGACCUGAUCUUAAAAGUAUGAAAGGGUAUAAUAAAGGUAUGAAAUUUCAUUACAACAGACCACUAAAGGGUGCUGAUUAAAAAACUACUUACAGAAGUAAAAGCUCCCUAUCUAAAUAUGAAAGCAAUCUAUCAAAUGUAGGAUCCUCUUUACAGUAUUUACAGUAUAUUCACAGCAAAAAGACAAGAUAUAAACAGUUAAAUUUGACAUGUGAAAAAGUAAAUUGCUUUAGACGAAAGAACACAGCUUCAGAUACUUUUCUGAAUUCUCAUUCCAUAAUAAAAUCCCAAGGGCCUUCCUGGUGUACUGACAGGAUAAGGACAGUCAAGAAAUGCAUCAGAAGACCUCACAUUAGACAAGAUAUUAAUUACAGACUGUCUGAAAGGCUCCAAAAAGCGGGUAGACUAAAAUGGAAAUUGUGCAAACAUUCCUUUCCCAAACCGAUUUAAGUGAACACCACAGUCAAGAAACAGAAUGCUGAAACCAAUAACAAUCUUCUACCCCCAAUAAGAAGAUUGGGCAAAAAAAUGCAGCCAGGUUGACUAAGCUCUCGCUAUGCCCGGGGUCCGGGGAAGGACCGGACCACAAAGGUCUAUUGUACUCAACCUCACCCUGCAUUUCUGCAUGAGGAUGUUUCUACGGCUUGAACCCGUGACCUCCUGGUCACAUAGUAGCAACUUUACCAGUAGUUAACGCCAAGGCUCCCGUUCAAUAAGAAGAUCGGGUAGUAUGAUAUAAUAUAAAUUUGCUCGACAAAACAUU
This 1671-nucleotide long non-coding RNA is filed under the name Nicotiana benthamiana. Its description in RNAcentral is "long non-coding RNA (NBEN_LNC030375)". Lineage: Eukaryota; Viridiplantae; Streptophyta; Magnoliopsida; Solanales; Solanaceae. The record is from RNAcentral.